RNAcentral lists this ribosomal RNA (169 nucleotides) under Dillwynia parvifolia. RNAcentral describes it as "5.8S ribosomal RNA". It matches the Rfam family "5.8S ribosomal RNA". Rfam says of the family: 5.8S ribosomal RNA (5.8S rRNA) is a component of the large subunit of the eukaryotic ribosome. It is transcribed by RNA polymerase I as part of the 45S precursor that also contains 18S and 28S rRNA. Lineage: Eukaryota; Viridiplantae; Streptophyta; Magnoliopsida; Fabales; Fabaceae. The record is from RNAcentral.
ACAUAACAAUGACUCUCGGCAACGGAUAUCUCGGCUCUUGCAUCGAUGAAGAACGUAGCGAAAUGCGAUACUUGGUGUGAAUUGCAGAAUCCCGUGAACCAUCGAGUCUUUGAACGCAAGUUGCGCCCGAAGCCAUUAGGCCGAGGGCACGCCUGCCUGGGUGUCACAC